RNAcentral lists this ribosomal RNA (386 nucleotides) under uncultured bacterium. Its description in RNAcentral is "partial 16S ribosomal RNA". It matches the Rfam family "Bacterial small subunit ribosomal RNA", at positions 338 to 722 of the family's 1533-position model. The record is from RNAcentral.
CCUACGGGAGGCAGCAGUGAGGAAUAUUGGUCAAUGGCCGGAAGGCUGAACCAGCCAUGCCGCGUGAAGGUCAGUGCCCUAUGGGCGUUAAACUUUUUUUGUGCGGGAGCAAUAAUGGUCACGUGUGGCCAGACGAGAGUACCGUACGAAUAAGCAUCGGCUAACUCCGUGCCAGCAGCCGCGGUAAUACGGGGGGUGCCAGCGUUAUCCGGAUUUAUUGGGUUUAAAGGGUUCGUAGGCGGCCUUUUAAGUCAUCGGUGAAAGUCUGUGGCUCAACCAUAGUAUUGCCGUUGACACUGGGUGGCGUGAGUAUGUUUGAGGCAGGCGGAAUGCGUGGUGUAGCGGUGAAAUGCUUAGAUAUCACGAAGAACCCCGAUUGCGAAGGC